Molecule: ribosomal RNA, 484 nt
Filed under: uncultured bacterium
Lineage: Bacteria
Description: partial 16S ribosomal RNA
Rfam family: Bacterial small subunit ribosomal RNA
Source: RNAcentral
AUUGAACGCUGGCGGCAUGCUUUACACAUGCCAGUCGAACGGCAGCGCGGGCUUCGGCCUGGCGGCGAGUGGCGCACGGGUGAGUAAUGCAUCGGAACGUGCCCAGUAGUGGGGGAUAGCCCGGCGAAAGCCGGAUUAAUACCCCAUACGACCUGAGGGUGAAAGCGGGGGACCGAAAGGCCUCGCGCUAUUGGAGCGGCCGAUGUCGGAUUAGCUAGUUGGUGGGGUAAAGGCUUACCAAGGCGACGAUCCGUAGCUGGUCUGAGAGGACGACCAGCCACACUGGGACUGAGACACGGCCCAGACUCCUACGGGAGGCAGCAGUGGGGAAUUUUGGACAAUGGGGGCAAGCCUGAUCCAGCCAUGCCGCGUGCGGGAAGAAGGCCUUCGGGUUGUAAACCGCUUUUGUUCGGGAAGAAAUCCUCUGGGUUAAUACCCCGGGGGGAUGACGGUACCGGAAGAAUAAGCACCGGCUAACUACGUG